GGGUCUAUAGUUCAGUGGUAGAAUUCUCGUCUCCAAAACGAGCGACCGAGGUUCAAAUCCUCGUGGGCCCGCAA
Molecule: transfer RNA, 74 nt
Filed under: Candidatus Nomurabacteria bacterium RIFCSPHIGHO2_02_FULL_38_15
Lineage: Bacteria; Candidatus Nomuraibacteriota
Description: tRNA-Trp
Rfam family: tRNA
About the family: Transfer RNA (tRNA) molecules are approximately 80 nucleotides in length. Their secondary structure includes four short double-helical elements and three loops (D, anti-codon, and T loops).
Source: RNAcentral